AUUUAAAUAGUUUAUUUAAAAUAAAGAUUUGUGGUGUCUUAGAUGUUAAUUAACUUUAAAUU
RNAcentral lists this transfer RNA (62 nucleotides) under Arboridia sp. 1 NZ-2023a. Its description in RNAcentral is "tRNA-His". Lineage: Eukaryota; Metazoa; Arthropoda; Insecta; Hemiptera; Cicadellidae. The record is from RNAcentral.